RNAcentral lists this unclassified non-coding RNA (268 nucleotides) under Hevea brasiliensis (rubber tree). The record is from RNAcentral. Lineage: Eukaryota; Viridiplantae; Streptophyta; Magnoliopsida; Malpighiales; Euphorbiaceae.
CACUAUAAUGUGGCUGAUGCAAGACUUGCCCAGCACAUUGAAAAAGGAAAUGAGGAUGGCUUAUUUAUUAGCAGCGUAGCUUCAUGUCAAAAUCUUUGGGCCUUGAUUAUGGAUGCUGGUACUGGUUACACUGCACAAGUCUAUGAACUAUCGCCACAUUUUCUUCACAAGGAAUGGAUAAUGGAGCACUGGGAGAAGAAUUAUUAUAUCAGUGCCAUAGCUGGAGCUGCUAAUGGAAGCUCAUUAGUUGUUAUGUCUAAGGGUACUC